UACGGGGGGGGCAAGCGUUGUUCGGAAUUACUGGGCGUAAAGGGCUCGUAGGUGGCCAACUAAGUCAGACGUGAAAUCCCUCGGCUUAACCGGGGAACUGCGUCUGAUACUGGAUGGCUUGAGUUUGGGAGAGGGAUGCGGAAUUCCAGGUGUAGCGGUGAAAUGCGUAGAUAUCUGGAGGAACACCGGUGGCGAAGGCGGCGUCCUGGACCAACACUGACACUGAUGAGCGAAAGCCAGGGGAGCAAACGGG
Molecule: ribosomal RNA, 253 nt
Filed under: uncultured bacterium
Lineage: Bacteria
Description: partial 16S ribosomal RNA
Rfam family: Bacterial small subunit ribosomal RNA
Source: RNAcentral